GAUCCUCAUUGUGCUAAACUAUCUUCUGACAUGGUGCAAGUUUUAAUUUGUGGAGCAGAUUGGGUUCGUCAACUUCAUGGGAUCAAUAAGCCUAUUAUGACAUAUGAGGAAGAAGAACCAAUUGAUGUCAUAUUGCAAGCAUGAUGGCUGGGGGAUAUUUGAAGUUUAAUUGUGAUUGUUAUUGUAGUACUUAAUUUUUGAAUUUGAUUGACUUUUUUUGGGUUGAUGUUGAAGCUUAAUUCAAACCUAAUAUUCUUAAUCUAGUAUUUAAUAUAUGAAUUUGAUGAUUGACUUUUUGUUGUUAUUUUAAUCUGAUUCUUGAUUAGUGUAUUAAUGUAACAUUUUAUGCUAUUUAA
Ipomoea nil (Japanese morning glory) is the source of this 356-nucleotide long non-coding RNA. RefSeq lists it as uncharacterized. The transcript is spliced from 2 exons. NCBI's taxonomy places the organism in Eukaryota, Viridiplantae, Streptophyta, Magnoliopsida, Solanales, Convolvulaceae. The record is from RefSeq and is a predicted model, not a curated record.